UGGGGAAUUUUGGACAACGGGGGAAACCCUGAUCCAGCCAUCCCGCGUGUGCGAUGAAGGCCUUCGGGUUGUAAAGCACUUUUGGCAGGAAAGAAACGUCAUGGGUUAAUACCCCGUGAAACUGACGGUACCUGCAGAAUAAGCACCGGCUAACUACGUGCCAGCAGCCGCGGUAAUACGUAGGGUGCAAGCGUUAAUCGGAAUUACUGGGCGUAAAGCGUGCGCAGGCGGUUCGGAAAGAAAGAUGUGAAAUCCCAGAGCUCAACGUUGGAACUGCAUUUUUAACUACCGGGCUAGAGUGUGUCAGAGGGAGGUGGAAUUCCGCGUGUAGCAGUGAAAUGCGUUGUUAUGCGGAGGAACAGCGGUGGCGGAGGCAGCCUCCUGGGAUAACACUGACGCUGAUGCACGGAGGCGUGGGGAGCAAACAGG
RNAcentral lists this ribosomal RNA (429 nucleotides) under Acidobacteriota bacterium. RNAcentral describes it as "Acidobacteria bacterium partial 16S ribosomal RNA". It matches the Rfam family "Bacterial small subunit ribosomal RNA", at positions 355 to 776 of the family's 1533-position model. The record is from RNAcentral. Lineage: Bacteria; Pseudomonadati; Acidobacteriota.